UUACUUCCAGAAUAUGACUGUACUUGGUUGAAGAGGAUAACCUUCCCGAAUAGAGGAGGAUGUUCUUCGGUCAAAAAACAUACAAAUGGCUGUGUUCUCCUGCUAGAACCUCCAAAGAAGCUCUUAAAAUAUUCCUGGUAAGCUGGGCACAGU
Molecule: small RNA, 153 nt
Filed under: Castor canadensis (American beaver)
Lineage: Eukaryota; Metazoa; Chordata; Mammalia; Rodentia; Castoridae
Description: 7SK RNA (ENSCCNG00000003011.1)
Source: RNAcentral